AGUGGGGAAUAUUGCACAAUGGGGGGAACCCUGAUGCAGCCAUGCCGCGUGUGUGAAGAAGGCCUUCGGGUUGUAAAGCACUUUCAGUUGUGAGGAAAAGUUAGUAGUUAAUACCUGCUAGCCGUGACGUUAACAACAGAAGAAGCACCGGCUAACUCCGUGCCAGCAGCCGCGGUAAUACGGAGGGUGCGAGCGUUAAUCGGAAUUACUGGGCGUAAAGCGCACGCAGGCGGUUUGUUAAGCUAGAUGUGAAAGCCCCGGGCUCAACCUGGGAUGGUCAUUUAGAACUGGCAGACUAGAGUCUUGGAGAGGGGAGUGGAAUUCCAGGUGUAGCGGUGAAAUGCGUAGAUAUCUGGAGGAACAUCAGUGGCGAAGGCGACUCCCUGGCCAAAGACUGACGCUCAUGUGCGAAAGUGUGGGUAGCGAA
RNAcentral lists this ribosomal RNA (427 nucleotides) under Alteromonas macleodii. Its description in RNAcentral is "bacterial SSU rRNA". It matches the Rfam family "Bacterial small subunit ribosomal RNA", at positions 353 to 772 of the family's 1533-position model. Lineage: Bacteria; Pseudomonadati; Pseudomonadota; Gammaproteobacteria; Alteromonadales; Alteromonadaceae. The record is from RNAcentral.